UACGGAGGGGGCAAGCGUUGUUCGGAAUUAUUGGGCGUAAAGGGCACGUAGGUGGAUUAGUAAGUUAAAAGUGAAAUACCAAGGCUUAACYUUGGAGCGGCUUUUAAUACUGCUAGACUAGAGKYCGRAAGAGGAUAGCGGAAUUCCUAGUGUAGAGGUGAAAUUCGUAGAUAUUAGGAGGAACACCAGUGGCGAAAGCGGCUAUCUGGUYCGAUACUGACACUGAGGUGCGAAAGCGUGGGGAGCAAACAGGAUUA
This 257-nucleotide ribosomal RNA is filed under the name uncultured Ehrlichia sp. RNAcentral's name for it is "partial 16S ribosomal RNA". It matches the Rfam family "Bacterial small subunit ribosomal RNA", at positions 524 to 780 of the family's 1533-position model. Lineage: Bacteria; Pseudomonadati; Pseudomonadota; Alphaproteobacteria; Rickettsiales; Anaplasmataceae. The record is from RNAcentral.